Long non-coding RNA from Pyrus x bretschneideri (Chinese white pear), 1992 nucleotides. RefSeq lists it as uncharacterized. NCBI's taxonomy places the organism in Eukaryota, Viridiplantae, Streptophyta, Magnoliopsida, Rosales, Rosaceae. The record is from RefSeq and is a predicted model, not a curated record. The transcript is spliced from 2 exons.
AACAAAAAUAUAUAACAAAUAAAAAAUAGAGUCCAUACAAAUUGGGCCAAACUACAAGGCAAAACAAUAUGUAAUCCAGCCCAAAAGAUGAGGAUGGGCCUUACAUACAAAUCAACAUCCAUAAAUAAAUAAAUAGAAAAUCAAAUAAGAAUUUCUUCCUGCAAAAGAGAGAAGAAACGUGCAACACAAGAGCUUCCUAUUUUUCUGCAAGGUGUGGAAAAAACUGCACAGUCAGUGGGAGAGGAUAAGGGAAAGUGGCAGAAAAACAUGGUCUCCAUCUCCCCCACAUAAAAAAACUCUAAACCCUUCCUAAGAUGCCUAUAAAUAGGCCUCAAUUGCAGCAAGAAGGAGAAAAGAAAAAAAUAGGACGAGGUACGCUGCGCAAAUUGAGAUAGAAAUUGAGAGAGGAAAGAAGUAACAAAAAUACUACCAGAAGAGAAGUUGAAGUAAUUCCAUUACCGGUGAUUUUCAAGGAAGAAGAGCAAACUACAAGCAACAAUCAGAAGAAUUUUAUGCCAGCAACCGCCGAUGUUAGACAAAAACCCAAACGAAGGCAGCAGCCACGCCAUAAUUAUUCGCUUCCACUUCGACAAUCGUCUAAAAUGAUGUGGAUGCGACACUGAGCGGCAAGCAGACCAUUGGGACAAAGACGCAGCCAUAGCCAUAGAACAAACAAAAAUGGAAAAGGUUGCAGUUAUCGCUUCAAGAAAGAAGACUCAAAGUAGAAGAAUCAUGUUCUUUGAUGAAUGCCAAGAAGAAAAGGAGUAGCCCAUGUCGCUCCCCGCUGAACCAUCAUUGUCAAAAGUUCCAAUCCACCAUAAUGAGGCAGUUGAAGACCCGGUCUAUGUAGAAAAGCCAUCAGGAAGAAGAUCGUCAAGACGUUGAUCGAGCAAGCCCAAGAGUUCAUGCCUUGUCUAGUAAAAAAGCAACCAAGGAACAACCUCAAAAUUCUGUGCACCAAGUUGUAGAAGUUGUACAAACAAUAAGGCAAUGGUGCAGAAAUGGUGUUUCCAUUUUAAAAGAGAGUAACAAUAAGUUUCAAGUAUGGAGGAAUAAGAUGGCAGAGAAGAAAGACGACAACCAAUCCGUCUCUGUUGUUUGUGUCGCCUCGGUUGACACUAAAACUCUACAAAGGAGCAACCGACCGCCGCCGCCGUUGUCUUGAAGUCAAGAAAAAAAUUGCCUUGCAAGGGAAGGAUGUACUGCCCACAUUGAGCACCAAAAAUGGUGCGGGCUGCAAUCUAAGUUUGCUAGGGAAGAUUGUCCCACAUGGAGAUUAAAUAUGCAAGAAGAAAAUCAAUGACUCUUUCAUUUGUUUUAUUCAUAUAGGAGUCUAUCAAGUUUGGCUCUGAGAACGAGAAGUAUGGAGACCAUGUCCUCAGAAACCUGUCCUUCUUUAAAUCACCAAAUAUGUGUAAACUUGUUGGCAAAAAGUUAAACACGACUUCAAAGAAUUUGGCACGUUGUCGCUGCUCCAUUCUUCGAAGGAUGUUCCAGGAAAAAGAGGAAGAAAGAAACAGUUUUGUCCAUCACGUGGGUGUUGCAGCAAGCAUUAGGUGGUAAAGCAACAAAGAAAGUGAUGUCCUCUUACAAUUGGAAAAGUCCUAGCAAAAGCAUACUUAAAAUAAUGAAGCUAUUGAACCUACAAAGAAACAAGACAAAAACCUCUGUGUUACUACUUCUAUGUCUUUUGUCCAAGAAAUAAUAAGGAUGGAAAGAAGCAUCACAUGGAUAAAAGCAACGGUGAAAAGAGAAAGGGAACAGAUGCCAACAUUUUUUUUUUUUUUUUUUUUCCUCUGAAGUUCUACUCCAAUUUUGAGUGCAUUGUGCAAGGAAGGAAGCUACAGUGAAAAAAAUAAAAGCACACCUUCAUGCCACUCACGUGAGCAUUAAGAGCAUGGCCUCCAUCAAAAUUAAAAUUAUCCAUGAAGGCUGAGAUGCACGGCACCAAGACAAAGUUAAAUACCAAAGUAUUAGUAGGUUCAUCACAAA